UGCGCAGGCGGUUACAUAAGUCAGGUGUGAAAUCCCCGCGCUUAACGUGGGCAUUGCAUUUGAAACUAUGUAGCUAGAGUUCUGUAGAGGGGGGUAGAAUUCCAGGUGUAGCGGUGAAAUGCGUAGAGAUCUGGAGGAAUACCGGUGGCGAAGGCGGCCCCCUGGACAAAGACUGACGCUCAGGUGCGAAAGCGUGGGGAGCAAACAGGAUUAGAUACCCCCGUA
RNAcentral lists this ribosomal RNA (225 nucleotides) under uncultured Thorsellia sp. RNAcentral describes it as "partial 16S ribosomal RNA". It matches the Rfam family "Bacterial small subunit ribosomal RNA", at positions 568 to 792 of the family's 1533-position model. The record is from RNAcentral. Lineage: Bacteria; Pseudomonadati; Pseudomonadota; Gammaproteobacteria; Enterobacterales; Thorselliaceae.